GAAAGCAGCAUUCAGAGAGGUGCCCAGAGGUGCACAAUGCCAGAGGAUCACAUACGUGCAUUACGUUUUGAGGCAAGCUUGCUAUUGUUAGCAGGUGGAUCCACUGAUGAGGCAGGGAAAUUACAGAGCAAGAGAGGCAAAACCAGAAGAUCCGAAAGAGAGAGAACAUGUUCAGCAAGAGAUGGGUUUACUAUGUGUGUGAAGUAGGGGGAACUAAGAUCUGAAGGACUGCAGGAGGAAUACAGAUAAGGAAGUUCCUUCACCUCUGUAUUAAAUUUCUUCCAUACUUAAGAUUCUGUUGCAUCAUAAGAUUGCGGGGAGGAGUUACUCCCUUAUUAUUCUUUGGAGAAGCUCAGAACCAUCAGAUAAACUGCUUUCUUGUCUUCCUAUGAAAAUCUCAGUACUGUUGUAGCAGGAGCUAUAGUUCAAUGCGCACAGUUCCCUCUGGAAAUGCCUGUCAGGUCUUCAGUGAUUGGCAAACAGAGAUUAAACUGCCACAGUGCCUUUGUAUUUGGAGUUCUGGGGGGAAUGUGCACACAGAGAUAAUAAAGAAACAUGCUGUA
Long non-coding RNA from Podarcis raffonei (Aeolian wall lizard), 563 nucleotides. RefSeq lists it as uncharacterized. NCBI's taxonomy places the organism in Eukaryota, Metazoa, Chordata, Lepidosauria, Squamata, Lacertidae. The transcript is spliced from 2 exons. The record is from RefSeq and is a predicted model, not a curated record.